AUACGUAGGGGGCGAGCGUUGUCCGGAAUGAUUGGGCGUAAAGGGCGCGUAGGCGGCCCGGUAAGUCUGGAGUGAAAGUCCUGUUUUUAAGAUGGGAAUUGCUUUGGAUACUGUCGGGCUUGAGUGCAGGAGAGGUAAGUGGAAUUCCCAGUGUAGCGGUGAAAUGCGUAGAGAUUGGGAGGAACACCAGUGGCGAAGGCGACUUACUGGACUGUAACUGACGCUGAGGCGCGAAAGUGUGGGGAGCAAACAGGAUUAGAUACCCUGGUAGUCCACACUGUAAACGAUGAGUGCUAGGUGUAGGGGGUAUCGACCCCUUCUGUGCCGCAGUCAACACAAUAAGCAUUCCGCCUGGGGAGUACGGCCGCAAGGUUGAAACUCAAAUGAAUUGGCGGGG
This 397-nucleotide ribosomal RNA is filed under the name uncultured bacterium. RNAcentral describes it as "partial 16S ribosomal RNA". It matches the Rfam family "Bacterial small subunit ribosomal RNA", at positions 523 to 918 of the family's 1533-position model. The record is from RNAcentral.